RNAcentral lists this ribosomal RNA (379 nucleotides) under uncultured bacterium. RNAcentral's name for it is "bacterial SSU rRNA". It matches the Rfam family "Bacterial small subunit ribosomal RNA", at positions 29 to 416 of the family's 1533-position model. The record is from RNAcentral.
AACGAACGCUGGCGGCAGGCUUAACACAUGCAAGUCGAACGCUCGACCUUCGGGUCGGGAGUGGCAGACGGGUGAGUAACGCGUGGGAACGUGCCCUUCGGUUCGGAAUAACCCAGGGAAACUUGGGCUAAUACCGGAUACGUCCUGGCCUGGAGACAGGGUGGGAGAAAGGUUUACUGCCGAAGGAUCGGCCCGCGUCGGAUUAGCUAGUUGGUGGGGUAACGGCCCACCAAGGCGACGAUCCGUAGCUGGUCUGAGAGGAUGAUCAGCCACACUGGGGACUGAGACACGGCCCAGACUCCUACGGGAGGCAGCAGUGGGGAAUAUUGGACAAUGGGCGAAAGCCUGAUCCAGCCAUGCCGCGUGAGUGAAGAAGGCC